GAGAGAGAAGAAGAGAGAGCCCAGGGAGGAGGGGCAGAGGGAGAGGGAGAGAGAAUCCUAAGCAGAUGCCAGGCUCAGCACAGCAGCUCGCAUACCACCUCCAGCUGAAAUCAAGAGCUUGCUACUCUACCUACUGUGCCACCAGGCACCCCAGGACCUCCUGUACUCCUGCUCGUUACCCAUUCUGGGGCAUCUGCUGAUGCUGGUGCUGUAAGCUUCAUGCCCAGUGUGGGACUUGAACUCAUGGCCCUGAGAUUAAGACCUGACCUAAGAUCAAGAGCCUGACAUGUAACUGACUGAGCAACCCAGGCACCCUUAGGGUCUUUUUUCUAAAUUCUUGGAUAUAUUGAUCAUACUUAGGUUUUAUCUGGAAAUAUUCAAGCAUAUAAAGUAGACUCAAAUAUUUAAUUGAUAUGAUGAUAAACAUCCAUCUGAGGAAUCAAAGCGGCCAGCAUUUAAAAUGCCUGAAAUAGUGAGAAUGGGGAAAAUUAAUAAGGCAGGAAACAACAAAUGUUGGAGAGGAUGUGGAGAAAAGGGAACCCUCUUACACUGUUGGUGGGAAUGUGAACUGGUGCAGCCACUCUGGAAAACUGUGUGGAGGUUCCUCAAAGAAUUAAAAAUAGACCUGCCCUACGACCCAGCAAUUGCACUGUUAGGGAUUUACCCCGAAGAUUCAGAUGCAAUGAAACACCGGGACACCUGCACCCCGAUGUUUCUAGCAGCCAUGUCCACAAUAGCCAAACUGUGGAAGGAGCCUCGGUGCCCAUUGAAAGAUGAAUGGAUAAAGAAGAUGUGGUUUAUGUAUACAAUGGAAUAUUACUCAGCCAUUAGAAACAACAAAUACCCACCAUUUGCUUCAACGUGGAUGGAACUGGAGGGUAUUAUGCUGAGUGAAGUAAGUCAAUCGGAGAAGGACAAACAGUGUAUGUUCUCACUCA
This is a long non-coding RNA of Nyctereutes procyonoides (raccoon dog), 938 nucleotides long. RefSeq lists it as uncharacterized. The record is from RefSeq and is a predicted model, not a curated record. The transcript is spliced from 3 exons. Lineage: Eukaryota; Metazoa; Chordata; Mammalia; Carnivora; Canidae.